UGGUUCGGUUGAACCCCGUCGAUCUCUAUCCCUCUCUUACUCUCUAUCGUGUUCCUCUUCACUACCACUUCUAAUUCUAGAAGCUUCCUCUACUUCUUCCAUCUCAAUUCCUCUUCUAUUUUUCUGAGAUUGUAUUUGAAUUUGAUUGUUCUUGAGAUUACUGAGUUGGAAGAAGAGGCUGUUAACAAUCUGGUAUCAGAGCCGUUCGGUUCACUGGGAUUUUUAUCAUGGAGGUGUUGGGGAGGCAGCAUGAGCCAUGCAAGAUGGAGCAAGAAUUGAGUUGGGAAGGUUUUCAUCCAAGCAUCGCCCACCAACUGCUCGAUGGAAUGCCAAGCCAACCUGGGAUGUCCAAGGAAGAUCAGAGGAUAUCUGAGCCCGUUCUCAUCAAUACCACCAUGAAUAAAGAGGAGAAAUGGCUAGAUGAAGCUUUGGAUCGGAUAUUGGAGAAGUUUGAACAAAUGGAGGCCAAGCGCCGGCAAGAGGACAAGCUCAAUCAAAAUUUUCAGAAGUUGGAGGAGAUAGAGGCUCGUAGGAGCAAGGCUUCCGAGGAGACGAUUGCUGCCAUCAGGGCAACCACCGCCAUUCUCAAGGCUGCAUCAUCUUCGACACCUAUGGCACCACCUCCUCCAGCGCCCACCAACUGUUUGAUGGAAUGCCACAACAACAACUUCACUUGGGUGGCAGUGAAUUCAAGUCACAUCCGCGAGGUACCUGCCCCGAUGGUUGCCUUCGAGCUUGGGGACGUCGAGGACAAGGAUCCUGUCCCCUACAUUGCCGCCAAGGACCUUCCCAAGGUCACGCCCACCAAGUGUUCGACGAUAUGUUCCAGCUCCGACACCAAGCCCGAUCACAUUGUGGCUACUGUGGUUACUUGCGCCACCCUUGUCGUGUCAUCAAUGGAGUUGGUAGCUAUUGACGGCACCACUGGCAACACCAACAUUGACACCCCUGAUAGUACCAAGGCGAUGCCCGCCAACUGUUCGACAGUUGGCCUUGAUGUCAAGGGUGGUGCAGACCACGCCAGGGUCACAUGCCAGAUCAUGAUGGGUGUUCCUGAGGCCUAUGGCUGGUCCAGAAUUCAAACUCAAUUGGUCAAGGGUACAUCAUUUGCCACCUUGGCCGCCACCUACCGAAUAUCUAGCCUGCAGGAGCAUAUUAAUGGGCAAGAACAAAUCUUAUGCAAACCUUGGAAUCCAAGAGACAACAGGACCUCAAUUGACAUAAUUCUGUUGAAUAGUUGGUCUCUAGUGCACUGCUAUCAUCUGGGGCAUAUUGUUGGCCUUACAUGUCUUGAAGCUUUGGCCAUUCUACUUUGCCAUGAGAUGGUUAAGUUUGGGUGGGCUGGUACUGUGUACAGUGACCAAGACAGGCAUACAAUUGUCAGGCCAGCAAGAGCAUUUGUCAGGCAUGAGCUUGGCAUCGGGAAUGGUUCACAUAUACUACAUGUUUCAGAGGCUGGAGCAAGAUGUGGGUCCAUGAGGAAAUUGCUUGAACUGAUAAGGAAUGAGAGGACUUUCCAAAUUAAAAUUAUGGUGAAGAACUUAUUGCAAGAGCUUCUACUCAAGUACUUGAUGCACAUGCACUGA
Molecule: long non-coding RNA, 1586 nt
Filed under: Oryza sativa tropical japonica subgroup
Lineage: Eukaryota; Viridiplantae; Streptophyta; Magnoliopsida; Poales; Poaceae
Description: lncRNA OsKeNa_07g0025400
Source: RNAcentral